Molecule: long non-coding RNA, 1163 nt
Filed under: Phasianus colchicus (ring-necked pheasant)
Lineage: Eukaryota; Metazoa; Chordata; Aves; Galliformes; Phasianidae
Description: lncRNA (ENSPCLG00000016937.1)
Source: RNAcentral
GAAUCUGUGGGAUUUUGGGGCCUUUUUGGGGUUGUUUAAGGAUUCGAGGGGUUUUGGGGCCAUUUGGGGAUUGUUUUGGGGUGAAUCUGUGGGAUUUUGGGGCCGUUUUGUGUCAUUUGGGGGCCAUUUUGGGGUCAUUUGGGGCCAUUUUGGGAUCCAGGAGAUUUUGGGGCCAUUUUGGGGUCAUUUGGGGCCAUUUCGGGGUCCGAGAGAUUUUGGGGUAAAUUUGUGUCAUUUUGGGGCCAUUUGGGGUCAUUUUGGGAUCCGGGAGAUUUUGGGGUGGAUUUGUGGGAUUUUGGGGCUGUUUUGAGUCAUUUGGGGUCUAUUUUGGGGUCAUUUUGGGGUCAUUUGGGACCAUUUUGGGAUCUGAGAGAUUUUGGGGUGAAUUUGUGGGAUUUUGGGGUCUUUUUGGGGCCAUUCUGGGAUCCAAGAGAUUUUGGGGUGAAUUUAUGGGAUUUUGGGGCUGUUUUGUGUCGUUUUGGGGCCUUUUGGGACCAUUUUGGGACCUGGGGGUUUUGGGGUCAUUUUUGUAUCACUUUGGGAUCAUUUUCGUGUCAUUUUGGGGUGAAUUUGUGGGAUUUUGGGGCCAUUUUGGGACCAUUUUGGGAUCUGAGGGAUUUUGGGGUGAAUUUGUGUCAUUUUGGGGUCAUUUGGGGCCAUUUUGGGAUCCGAGAGAUUUUGGGGUGAAAUUGUGGGAUUUUGGGGCUGUUUUGUGUCGUUUUGGGGUCAUUUUGGGAUCCAGGAGAUUUUGGGGCCAUUUUGGGGUCAUUUGGGGCCAUUUUGGGAUCCGGGAGAUUUUGGGGUGAAUUUGUGGGAUUUUGGGGUCGUUUUGGGGUCCUUUUGUGAUCUGAGGGGUUUUGGGGUGAAUCUGUGGGAUUUUGGGUCCCCCCGCAGGCGCAGCCCGGACCUUCGAAGCCACCAACGGAAGCUCCGCCCCCUCAGGUGCCGUUUUGGGGCUAAAAAAGGCCGUUUUGGGGCCGGAAGUUUUUUGGGGUAAAAAAAGGCGAUUUUAGGGGGGGUUCUGACCUUUGACCUGUGACCUUUGACCCCGCAGCCGCCGCCGGAGGAGCAGAGCAAGGAGCCCAAAAAGGAGAGCGGGGGGAGCAGCAGGUGGGGAUUGGGGGGAAAGUGGGCGAUUUUGGGGAAAAACGGGGCAAAAAAGG